UAGUGACACAACAAAGAAGGCGCCCAAAAGGGCUUAAAAGGGAAUCCGGUGAAAAGCCGGAACUGUCCCCGCAACUGUAAAUGCGUACGAACGGCAAUACCACUGUUUUUUAAACGGGAAGGUGACCAAGUAGGACGAUGCAUAAGUCAGGAGACCUGCCUUUUUUGUCACAGUUUC
RNAcentral lists this non-coding RNA (177 nucleotides) under Bacillus sp. (in: firmicutes). Lineage: Bacteria; Bacillati; Bacillota; Bacilli; Caryophanales; Bacillaceae. The record is from RNAcentral.